This 394-nucleotide ribosomal RNA is filed under the name uncultured bacterium. Its description in RNAcentral is "bacterial SSU rRNA". It matches the Rfam family "Bacterial small subunit ribosomal RNA", at positions 29 to 413 of the family's 1533-position model. The record is from RNAcentral.
AAUGAACGCUGGCGGCGCGCCUAAUACAUGCAAGUCGAGCGAGAAGACGUAGCAAUACGUUUGUAAAGCGGCGAACGGGUGAGGAAUACAUGGGUAACCUACCCUCGAGUGGGGAAUAACUAGCCGAAAGGUUAGCUAAUACCGCGUACGCUUCUUGGACUUCGGUUCAGGGAGGAAAGCGAUACCGUGGGUAUCGCGCUCUUGGAUGGGCUCAUGUCCUAUCAGCUUGUUGGUGAGGUAACGGCUCACCAAGGCUUCGACGGGUAGCUGGUCUGAGAGGACGAUCAGCCACACUGGCACUGCGACACGGGCCAGACUCCUACGGGAGGCAGCAGUAAGGAAUAUUGCGCAAUGGGCGAAAGCCUGACGCAGCGACGCCGCGUGGGGGAGUGAA